AUGCUGAACUAUUCCAACCCAUUUGCAACUUAUUCUCCAAUCCAAAGAUGCAGCUUUUCAUAGGAUUAAGUGCUAUGGAUUAUCAGAUCGAGUAACGUAACAGGCACAAUAGCAAUAUGGUGGUGGAGGUGCUGCUGAUUUGCAACAUAGACAUGGUGGAUACAUUGGCUUCUGAUAUAGUUCUGCAAAUACAUAAUCCAAAACCCAAAACAAUAAAAAUUAAAAGAAGAAAAUAAGCGAAGCCGGUCACCUAACAAGCAGUAGAUUUCAAGAGUUUAGUUUCUAUCGGUCUUCUAAUGUCAGCUCUCUGGUAGGCCAAUCGAUCACUGCUUGAUUGGCCGUAACUACAUGAUCGAUCUGACGAAGAUUCCCAUGUAGAUCUAUGACGUUUCUAUGCAUUAAUCGAUAUUUAAAAAUAUUUUACACUGUCAUGCACAAUAUUAAAUGCAUAAAGGAAUUAUAAGUAAACCGACAAUAUUAAAUAUAUAUAUAUUCACAGAAAUAGGUCAUUUAUAAAGUUAUUAUUGACAAAUUUCUACGCUAACAUUAAUUGUUAACCUGAUUAAAAUGGUAAGUAACCUGAUAUAUAGAUAAACUAUUAUUUAUAUAACUUAAAUCCAAAUUUUGAAAAGUACCUCUAUGACUGAAUCCAGCUUCCGCAGAGGGGAUCACGCCAGAAUGUGAAAUAAUCAUCACAAAAGUAACUAUGGCAAUGAGACGAAACCUUGAAAUUAAGCUU
This 739-nucleotide long non-coding RNA is filed under the name Nicotiana tabacum (common tobacco). RNAcentral's name for it is "long non-coding RNA (NTAB_LNC009098)". Lineage: Eukaryota; Viridiplantae; Streptophyta; Magnoliopsida; Solanales; Solanaceae. The record is from RNAcentral.